GGUACUCACUUGGCAGCAUGUACUAAAAUUGGAACAGUACAGAGAAAAUUAGCAUGACCUCUGUGCAAGGAUGACACACAAAUUCAUGAAGUGUUCUAGGAAAAA
Gracilinanus agilis (Agile Gracile Mouse Opossum) is the source of this 105-nucleotide small nuclear RNA. NCBI's taxonomy places the organism in Eukaryota, Metazoa, Chordata, Mammalia, Didelphimorphia, Didelphidae. The record is from RefSeq and is a predicted model, not a curated record.